GUCAUGCUUUAAUCAGUUAAUUAAAUGACAUCUCUUAAUAGUUUCAGAUCAUCAAUGUCUGAUACUGUAUAGACAGUGCAGCAAGUUUGCAUAAGUCAAGCAUUCAGUGUUAGUUCACUGACCUUUUUUACUGAAUUGAAUGUUAGUCCAUUUUCUUAUUUCAUUCCUUUCAACAUGAUAUCUCUUCUUUAUAUCUCAAGGCUACUCCAGACUACAUCUGCGUCAUUACGAGUCUGGGAACAUGUGUUACAUUUGCUGCUGUUUAAUCCUUUUCAUAUGGCCUGAUGGAGUCACAAAUCCAAUGAUCAUAACUUAACUACCUCCUGAAUAUGUUGAGAGCAGCUUUUACCAGGUGGAAUGAAAAUCAGAUCUUCCCAGCCUGAAUUCUUCUCACUAAUCUCCAUUUUUCUCAGAACAUCCUCUAAACUUCCCACCAUAAUAUGUUGAGCAAGACCCAGCGCUCUUGAUGCCCUAGAAACCUUUGACAGUUCUUUUUCUAUAUCUUCCUUUUGGAAAUAUAUUGGGCAGUAACGCUUGUUUUUCUUCUUCACAACCAGAAGGUCUGACUGAAAAACAGGAACUCCAUCAAAACCGGUCUUGAUGUCAGCAGCUUUUAGCUCUAAUGCAUUCUUUAUUUGAACUGGAUCAGGC
RNAcentral lists this unclassified non-coding RNA (651 nucleotides) under Hevea brasiliensis (rubber tree). The record is from RNAcentral. Lineage: Eukaryota; Viridiplantae; Streptophyta; Magnoliopsida; Malpighiales; Euphorbiaceae.